UGGGGAAUAUUGCACAAUGGGGGAAACCCUGAUGCAGCAACGCCGCGUGAGUGAAGAAGUAUUUCGGUAUGUAAAGCUCUAUCAGCAGGGAAGAUAAUGACGGUACCUGACUAAGAAGCUCCGGCUAAAUACGUGCCAGCAGCCGCGGUAAUACGUAUGGAGCAAGCGUUAUCCGGAUUUACUGGGUGUAAAGGGUGCGUAGGUGGCAGUGCAAGUCAGAUGUGAAAGGCCGGGGCUCAACCCCGGAGCUGCAUUUGAAACUGCAUAGCUAGAGUACAGGAGAGGCAGGCGGAAUUCCUAGUGUAGCGGUGAAAUGCGUAGAUAUUAGGAGGAACACCAGUGGCGAAGGCGGCCUGCUGGACUGUUACUGACACUGAGGCACGAAAGCGUGGGGAGCAAACA
RNAcentral lists this ribosomal RNA (402 nucleotides) under uncultured bacterium. Its description in RNAcentral is "bacterial SSU rRNA". It matches the Rfam family "Bacterial small subunit ribosomal RNA", at positions 355 to 774 of the family's 1533-position model. RNAcentral also lists the same sequence under 1 other name. The record is from RNAcentral.